Molecule: ribosomal RNA, 189 nt
Filed under: uncultured bacterium
Lineage: Bacteria
Description: partial 16S ribosomal RNA
Rfam family: Bacterial small subunit ribosomal RNA
Source: RNAcentral
UAAGACAGAGGGGGCAAGCGUUGCUCGGAAUCACUGGGCGUAAAGGGCGCGUAGGCGGGAUGGCAAGUCGGUCGUGAAAUCCUUCGGCCCAACCGAAGAACGUCGGCCGAUACUGCCAUUCUUGAGGAUUGCAGAGGAGACUGGAAUUCCCGGUGUAGCGGUGAAAUGUGUAGAUCUCGGGAGGAACAC